GACCGGCCACAUUGGGACUGAGACACGGCCCAAACUCCUACGGGAGGCAGCAGUGGGGAAUAUUGCACCAUGGGGGUAACCCUGAUGCAGCGACGCCGCGUGAGCGAUGAAGUAUUUCGGUAUGUAAAGCUCUAUGAGCAGGGAAGAAAAUGACGGUACCUGACUAAGAAGCACCGGCUAAAUACGUGCCAGCAGCCGCGGUAAUACG
This 208-nucleotide ribosomal RNA is filed under the name uncultured Lachnospiraceae bacterium. RNAcentral describes it as "partial 16S ribosomal RNA". It matches the Rfam family "Bacterial small subunit ribosomal RNA", at positions 302 to 527 of the family's 1533-position model. The record is from RNAcentral. Lineage: Bacteria; Bacillati; Bacillota; Clostridia; Lachnospirales; Lachnospiraceae.